GGAGUGGCGGCAGCUACACAUGCAAGUCGAGCGGUAACAGGGGUAGCUUGCUACCCGCUGACGAGCGGCGGACGGGUGAGUAAUGCAUAGGAAUCUGCCCGAUAGUGGGGGAUAACCUGGGGAAACCCAGGCUAAUACCGCAUACGUCCUACGGGAGAAAGGGGGCUUCGGCUCCCGCUAUUGGAUGAGCCUAUGUCGGAUUAGCUAGUUGGUGAGGUAAAGGCUCACCAAGGCAACGAUCCGUAGCUGGUCUGAGAGGAUGAUCAGCCACAUCGGGACUGAGACACGGCCCGAACUCCUACGGGAGGCAGCAGUGGGGAAUAUUGGACAAUGGGGGCAACCCUGAUCCAGCCAUGCCGCGUGUGUGAAGAAGGCCCUCGGGUUGUAAAGCACUUUCAGCGAGGAAGAACGCCUAUCGGUUAAUACCCGGUAGGAAAGACAUCACUCGCAGAAGAAGCACCGGCUAACUCCGUGCCAGCAGCCGCGGUAAUACGGAGGGUGCAAGCGUUAAUCGGAAUUACUGGGCGUAAAGCGCGCGUAGGUGGCUUGAUAAGCCGGUUGUGAAAGCCCCGGGCUCAACCUGGGAACGGCAUCCGGAACUGUCAGGCUAGAGUGCAGGAGAGGAAGGUAGAAUUCCCGGUGUAGCGGUGAAAUGCGUAGAGAUCGGGAGGAAUACCAGUGGCGAAGGCGGCCUUCUGGACUGACACUGACACUGAGGUGCGAAAGCGUGGGUAGCAAACAGGAUUAGAUACCCUGGUAGUCCACGCCGUAAACGAUGUCGACCAGCCGUUGGGUGCCUAGAGCACUUUGUGGCGAAGUUAACGCGAUAAGUCGACCGCCUGGGGAGUACGGCCGCAAGGUUAAAACUCAAAUGAAUUGACGGGGGCCCGCACAAGCGGUGGAGCAUGUGGUUUAUUCGAUGCAACGCGAAGAACCUUACCUACCCUUGACAUCUACAGAAGCCGGAAGAGAUUCUGGUGUGCCUUCGGGAACUGUAAGACAGGUGCUGCAUGGCUGUCGUCAGCUCGUGUUGUGAAUGUUGGGUUAAGUCCCGUAACGAGCGCAACCCUUGUCCUUAUUUGCCAGCCAGUA
RNAcentral lists this ribosomal RNA (1092 nucleotides) under Halomonas sp. RNAcentral's name for it is "bacterial SSU rRNA". It matches the Rfam family "Bacterial small subunit ribosomal RNA", at positions 35 to 1127 of the family's 1533-position model. The record is from RNAcentral. Lineage: Bacteria; Pseudomonadati; Pseudomonadota; Gammaproteobacteria; Oceanospirillales; Halomonadaceae.